UACGUAGGGUGCAAGCGUUGUCCGGAAUUAUUGGGCGUAAAGAGCUCGUAGGCGGUUUGUCGCGUCUGCUGUGAAAACGCGGGGCUCAACUCCGCGCCUGCAGUGGGUACGGGCAGACUAGAGUGCAGUAGGGGAGACUGGAAUUCCUGGUGUAGCGGUGAAAUGCGCAGAUAUCAGGAGGAACACCGAUGGCGAAGGCAGGUCUCUGGGCAUUAACUGACGCUGAGGAGCGAAAGCAUGGGGAGCGAACAGG
RNAcentral lists this ribosomal RNA (253 nucleotides) under uncultured bacterium. Its description in RNAcentral is "partial 16S ribosomal RNA". It matches the Rfam family "Bacterial small subunit ribosomal RNA", at positions 524 to 776 of the family's 1533-position model. The record is from RNAcentral.